GACGAACGCUGGCGGUGUGCUUAACACAUGCAAGUCGAACGGAAAGGCCCUGCUUUUGUGGGGUGCUCGAGUGGCGAACGGGUGAGUAACACGUGAGUAACCUGCCCUUGACUUUGGGAUAACUUCAGGAAACUGGGGCUAAUACCGGAUAGGAGCUCCUGCUGCAUGGUGGGGGUUGGAAAGUUUCGGCGGUUGGGGAUGGACUCGCGGCUUAUCAGCUUGUUGGUGGGGUAGUGGCUUACCAAGGCUUUGACGGGUAGCCGGCCUGAGAGGGUGACCGGCCACAUUGGGACUGAGAUACGGCUCAGACUCCUACGGGAGGCAGCAGUGGGGAAUAUUGCACAAUGGGCGGAAGCCUGAUGCAGCAACGCCGCGUGCGGGAUGACGGCCUUCGGGUUGUAAACCGCUUUCGCCUGUGACGAAGCGUGAGUGACGGUAAUGGGUAAAGAAGCACCGGCUAACUACGUG
RNAcentral lists this ribosomal RNA (468 nucleotides) under uncultured bacterium. Its description in RNAcentral is "partial 16S ribosomal RNA". It matches the Rfam family "Bacterial small subunit ribosomal RNA", at positions 28 to 507 of the family's 1533-position model. The record is from RNAcentral.